Molecule: long non-coding RNA, 1809 nt
Filed under: Mus musculus (house mouse)
Lineage: Eukaryota; Metazoa; Chordata; Mammalia; Rodentia; Muridae
Description: long non-coding RNA chr5:117238625-117240434
Source: RNAcentral
AACCUGUCAUGUAAGUGAGUCCGAUUUUAGACAUGGUAGUAGUAAUUAAUUAGUAAACACCUGACAAUCAGAGGAAGGCCCAGUGAGGACCGCAUGCCCGCCGCAGGGUCCCAGUCACGUGCUAAGCUCCUUUCCCUGUGCCACAAGGUCAGCUUUCCUGAGAAGUAAUGCAGAAAACUUUAAAAUGAUCCUUUAAGCGUUUUUCAAAAUACAUAUACUAAAGGGUGUUGUUGUUGUUGUUUAAAAUUAUUGGGAGAGGGAGAGACAGGCUCUCACUAUGAGACCCACAACAAUCUCGAACUUGCAACCUCUCUGACCUCCUUAGUGCUUCAGAGUGCAGGCAUGUGUUUAGGGGGAUGGUUAUAGUCUUGCCCAGCUUGAGAAUUGCAUUGCUUUUCAUUUCUUCAUUAUUAUCUCGCAUGCAUACAUGAUGGAGGGCCACACACGUGCCACGGCACCCACAGUGUGCUUUUCCAGGUAGCCCAUCUUUCUGGUCCAAGAAAUGCAUGUUUACCCCUAGCAAUGUCUGGUCCCAGCUUGUGCAGUGGCAGCAAUACUCCCUGCCUAUGUCACCCACCCCCGGCCACCAUGGAAGAUAGCUCGUAGUCGCAGUGACUCAGGAAUCAGAUGUUCCAUUUUAUUUCAUUUUAAUUUGUUUAAGUUAAAAUAGCCAGGGUUGGCUAGUAGCCAGCUCACCAGCCAGCACAGCUGUAAGCCUUCCCCUGAAUCUGAUGGCACAAAACCUACAACAAGUUUAUUACAGAGCUCUCAGGCCUGCAAGAUGGCUCCUGGGGAAAGGGGGCCUGCCACCAAGCCAGAGUUAGAUCCCUGAAACCCACAUGGUGCAGACGCUAAAGUUGUCUUCUGACCUCCACAUGUGCGAGAGCAUGCGAGCGCACUCGCGAGUACACACACACACACACACACACACACACACACACGCAAAUGUGAUUUUAAAAUGUAAAGAUCUUUUUCAUUCUUUGAACUUCAAUAUAGAAAUGGAAAGUCUAGACACAGGUGUGAAGACACACCUCCCUCCAUAUCAAAACACUUAGAUUUACAAAAGGAAACAGCGUUGUGAUGGAUGUAAUCUCGGAUGGCGGCUUUCACAUCAAAACCUGGUUAUAAUGUUUCAUUUCCCUCAAAAAAUCAACACAUUUUGAUAUUUUUUAAUUUAUAGAUAAAUGAUAUAAUUUUGUAUUUUCUGAAUCUCUUUGGCCCUUGUUUUAUAAUGAAAGGGCAAUUAUAUGUUUGGGGGGGGGUUGUUGUUUUUUUUUUUUUUAAUUUUCAGGUACUCCUGGAGAAAAUGCAAACAAAUGGUUUCUCCUAAAACCCUGGGGGAUAAAAAAUUGAUUUCUCCUUCCCCAUCUGAGCAUGUGCUAUUUAAAAAUCCCCCACCACUGAACAUGGUUUUGAGCUACAAAUUGCCAGAGUAUUGGUGGGGGUGGGAGUUGGGGAGGGGGCAUUGUGUUAAUUUUCUGAAGGGUUGGCACUGCCGACACAGUGACCAUCUCGUUCUGUACAGAGGGGGCAUGGCCCUCUAAAAACAUCGUUCCUUUAGAAGGCGUCUCAGCUGCAUUUAAGGAACACGCAUCAUCAUCCAUCCAGGGCAUGUUAUUUUUUUUCCCACGGGGCGUUUGAAUGUUAUUAAUCAUCUUUGGUCAUCAAGAAAGCACAGGACUCGAUUAAAUCAGUCAAGGACAUUAAAUCCCAGCCUCGCUCAGUCUGCUGGCAUACCGACACUGAGUUGAGGAACCAUUUGCCCAAGUAUCAUUUGGUUUGGAAUUGUACGCCUGUCUCUUUAAAUCU